GGCUGAUCACGUGGCUGAUGUCUUGAUGAUACCAUCGGCCACGCUUCCUUUUAGGCAAUGUAAUAUUCUACUGGGCGGGUCCGCAAGUUGUCGUUAAAUUACUAACAACUUUGUCAUCGUUGCCUUCCUUAAGAUCCUUGUGCAAGGCCUAGCAAUAUCAGGACCGUUCAUCUUUUGUAGAGUCAGCCCCUCUUUAAUCAUCAAGCCAGUUCACAGUUUCCUUUGCUAGUUUCCAGUUGCCGAGUAUAGUACUGACUGCUGGCCUUAGAAAAAGAAAGAAAACAAGAACUAUCUAUCUGCAACGCAAUUGUUUACAACAUACACCACUGCUUUGAGCUUUAGCAAGAGGGGAAAUACAAGGUAUUGGCGUAUUUGGAAUUAGAGUGAAUUUGAAGAGCGAAUGGCCAACAUAGACAUCGAGGGAAUCCUAAAGGAGCUGCCUGAAGAUGGGCGUGUCCCAAAGUCAAAGAUCGUGUGCACGCUUGGUCCUGCUUCUCGAUCCGUCCCUAUGCUCGAGAAGCUUCUCAGGGCUGGCAUGAACGUUGCCCGCUUCAAUUUCUCCCAUGGAACCCAUGAAUAUCACCAGGAGACCUUGAACAAUCUUAGAAUUGCCAUGCAGAACACACAGAUCCUUUGUGCUGUCAUGCUCGAUACCAAGGUCUCUCUUUUGCUUUUAUAUUCCAGUUUUAUUUUCAUCUUCCUAUUGCUUGUGCUACAUUUGAUUGACUGUGUCAAUCUGGCAGCUUUUCUUUUGCUUUUAUUCUUCAUCAUCUCUUCUUUUCUAUUGCUUAUAUAUGUGUGUAUGGCUGUGAAGGAGGCAUCACAUUUAGACUGUGGGGAGAGAGCAAUUUCUUUCAGUAAUAAAUUCGGCACAAUCUGAGGCAGGGGGAAAUUUGAUUUAUAAUGUCAGCUACAUGCCAAAACAUUGAUACAUACAUAUAAAAUAAAUCAAUUCAAUUUUUAAAACAUCAAUGUUUUGGUCACAAAAGACCCUGUAUACAUAGUAUGGAAAUUUCAAUUAUUUAUGAAGUAUGUGUUAGACACCACAAAUAACCUUUUGGGCAUGAGAUUGUUUGCAUUGGUUAAUUGUUACAUGCAUACUUGGUGAGCACGGAUGACUUCGUAAAAAGUAGAUUCUCACAGCUUCUGGGAUUUACAAAUUCUUUAGAAACAUUACAUGAUUUGCAUACCUAUGUAGUGCUCAAUUGGCACUGAGGUUGAAACUAAGUUUUUUUAAAAAUCCUUUUAGAUUUUGUGAAAAACAGUUUCAAUCAGUUUGAAGCUGCUUUUUAGUGUUUUUGAAGUUUUUAGGACAGAAAAUGUCACUCAAAUCUAUCUUAAAAAUCUGUUUUAAUUUAAUCAACACAUUCAAGAUAUUUUUUCUAAGAUUUUAUUUUUAACAUUGGAUAUGAGUGACUAUGUAUAUGCAAGACAUAUGGUAACGUUGUGGAGAAAUUUUCUUUGGAAACAAUUUACAAUUCUGUUCUGAUUGAUUAAAUAAUUAUUGUAACAUCAUUUUUUGUAUGCAUGGUUUCUGAAUGUUUAUUAAAUGAAAGGUUUUUUAAUACCCUGUGGAGAGAGAGAUUACAAUUUACAGAAACUAUUACAUUUUGAGUUCCUUUUGCUGGUGCUGGAUAGAUUACUAUGUGCCUGUCGUCCUUUUAUUUCCCCUUUCUAAGAAGUUAAAAAUCGAAAAUUUCAAUUGCUAUAAAGUGAAACAGGGGAUUUGCUCUGAACUCUUAUCUUGUGGGCAUUGGAUGUUUGUUACUCUUCGUUCUGGCCUAUUAUACUGAUGCAUUACAUGUUUCCACAUUUUGCACAAAUAGCAGAGCGAAAAAUCUUUUCACUCAAAAGAUUAUGUUCUGACGCAUUACAUGUUUCCACAUGUUGCACAAAUAGUAGAGCGAAAAAUCUUUCUCACUCAGAAAGAUUAUACUCCGUUAUUCAUCCAGGAUUAACUAUUCUGAUAGGCAUUCCUUUCUUCUUUUCUGUGGUAGGGACCUGAGAUUCGGACUGGUUUCCUGAAGGAUGGAAAACCUAUUCAACUGAAGGAAGGUCAGGAAAUCACUGUGACUACUGAUUAUGAGAUCAAGGGUGAUACAGAGAUGAUCUCCAUGAGCUACAAAAAACUGCCUGUGGACGUGAAACCUGGAAAUACCAUAUUGUGUGCUGAUGGAACAAUCACUCUGACUGUUUUGUCUUGUAAUCCGGAGGCUGGAAGUGUGAGUUGCCGCUGUGAGAACACUGCAACACUAGGUGAAAGGAAAAAUGUUAAUCUUCCUGGUGUUGUGGUGGAUCUUCCAACACUGACAGAGAAGGAUAAGGAAGACAUCUUGGGUUGGGGUGUUCCCAACAAGAUCGAUAUGAUUGCUCUUUCAUUUGUUCGCAAGGGUUCAGAUCUUGUUCAUGUGCGAAAGGUUCUUGGGCCACAUGCCAAGCAUAUACAGUUAAUGUCAAAGGUACAAUCCCUAUCUGUAGAGGCACAUGGUAUGUAACUUGUGCCCCCCUUUUGGGAUUUUGUACUUUGCCUAGAUGUGUCUGUUUGCUAAUCUAUUCCAUUUAAGAAAUUAAUUUUGAUUAUUGUUAUUGAUAAUUGUUACACUUCUCUGUAGAAGUUUUAUUUGGUUGGUUAGAUAAUUGAUUGCUUCGGUUUUCCUUAGGUUGAGAACCAGGAAGGAGUUGUUAACUUUGAUGAGAUCUUGCGGGAGACUGAUUCAUUCAUGGUUGCUCGUGGUGAUCUUGGAAUGGAAAUUCCUGUAGAGAAGAUUUUCCUGGCACAAAAGAUGAUGAUAUACAAGUGCAAUAUUGUGGGCAAGCCUGUGGUUACUGCGACCCAGAUGCUUGAAUCCAUGAUUAAGUCUCCCCGACCAACCAGAGCUGAAGCAACUGAUGUUGCUAAUGCUGUUCUUGAUGGUACUGAUUGUGUUAUGCUUAGUGGUGAGAGUGCAGCUGGGGCCUACCCAGAGCUUGCUGUAAAGAUUAUGCGUCGGAUUUGUAUUGAAGCAGAAUCAUCCCUUGACUAUGGAGCUAUCUUCAAGGAGAUGAUAAGAUCAACUCCACUUCCCAUGAGCCCAUUGGAGAGCCUUGCGUCCUCAGCUGUACGAACUGCUAACAAGGCAAAAGCAAAGCUCAUUGUAGUUUUGACGCGUGGAGGGACAACAGCUAAGUUGGUAGCCAAGUACAGACCAGCUGUCCCAAUCCUGUCUGUAGUUGUCCCAGUCUUGACGACUGACUCGUUUGAUUGGACCUGCAGCGAUGAGACUCCAGCAAGGCAUAGUUUGAUAUAUAGGGGCUUGAUUCCUAUUCUGGCAGAAGGGUCUGCCAAGGCUACUGAUGCAGAAUCUACUGAGGUUAUUUUGGAAGCUGCAUUAAAGUCAGCGACCGAGAGGGGGUUGUGUAAGCCUGGCGAUGCUGUUGUUGCACUCCAUCGAAUUGGAGCUGCCUCAGUUAUUAAGAUAUGCAUUGUGAAAUGAUGUGAAAUAUGCUGAAUGCCUUAGAUAUGGCUUGGAGAGGCAGUUGCAAGGAAUGGACGUUUAUAAUAAUAAUUAUAUUUUUUGGGACCUGUUGUGGGGUCAUUGGAGGAUUAGUUAUUUCGUCUGUCCUCACUCUAUGUUAUAUGAGACUGGAAUUGUCAUUUUAAUUAGAUAAUGUUAUUGGCAUGUUCAAUCAUAUGUUCUUGUGGCACGUAUAAAAUGCAACAUCCAGGACAUGUAGGGGAUACGUGGUUUUAUGGCUGAUUCUAUGAGAUUUGUAUCGGACUGUGGUGCAUUGAGAUUCCAACCGGCGUUUAGAUGAAGAGUUGGGGGGAGGACUGUUUGCAUUGGCCAAUGAGGACUCGAAUUCCAUAAGUGGGAGGCAAAGAUGAUUCUGCAUAAGCAAGGUUCAAGACAGGAUUGAUCUGUCAACUUCACCAGGGCAAUUUCAAGAAGAGGUGGCUAUUCUUGUUGCUACGUUGUGUCCUAUUUCUUCGUUCUGGAACAUCUACUAAACGAAUACUAUAGGAGAGACAGGCCCCUUCAUCAACUGUCAACUAUAAGCAUGCAACUUAAAAGAUUUCAAGAAGCCUACGGUGGUGGAGAGCGCUGCUUUUGUUAAGAGAAGUGCCAUAGGUUCGAAACCAAAACCUCGUAUUCAAAUGGCCAUAAUUUAGACAUAUAUGAAUCAUGAUGUCUUCAAAACUAUCAGAGGCAAUAGGCGUGGAUUUAGCGGCAGUCUGGCACAGUGGCACUUCUCUAUUCAGGGUGGACGAGGUUGAAUACACGGUGAAAGGCUAAUGAUUAAUCAAUUUAUAGGAAUGGCG
Molecule: unclassified non-coding RNA, 4300 nt
Filed under: Hevea brasiliensis (rubber tree)
Lineage: Eukaryota; Viridiplantae; Streptophyta; Magnoliopsida; Malpighiales; Euphorbiaceae
Source: RNAcentral